This 439-nucleotide ribosomal RNA is filed under the name Anaplasma ovis. RNAcentral describes it as "bacterial SSU rRNA". It matches the Rfam family "Bacterial small subunit ribosomal RNA", at positions 1 to 452 of the family's 1533-position model. Lineage: Bacteria; Pseudomonadati; Pseudomonadota; Alphaproteobacteria; Rickettsiales; Anaplasmataceae. The record is from RNAcentral.
AAUCCAGAAGUUGAUCAUGGUUCAGAGUGAACGCUGGCGGCGUGCUUAACACAUGCAAGUCGAACGGGCAAGGCUCGUAGCGAUACACGAGUUCUGCUAGUGGCAGACGGGUGAGUAGUACAUGGGAAUCUACCUUGCAGUGCGAAAUAACAGUUGGAAGCAAUUGCUAAUGUCGCAUAUAGCCGAGAGGUGAAAGAUUUAUCGCUGCAAGACGAGCCCAUGCAGGAUUAGCUAGUUGGUGAGGUAAUGGCUCACCAAGGCAACGAUCUUUAGUUGGUCUGAGAGGAUGAUCAGCCACACUGGAACUGAGACACGGUCCAGACUCCUACGGGAGGCAGCAGUGGGGAAUAUUGGACAAUGGGCGCAAGCCUGAUCCAGCGACGCCGCGUGAGUGAAGAAGGCCUUCGGGUUGUAAAGCUGGAUCAGUGGAAUACAGAGU